Molecule: non-coding RNA, 202 nt
Filed under: Dellaglioa algida
Lineage: Bacteria; Bacillati; Bacillota; Bacilli; Lactobacillales; Lactobacillaceae
Description: Lactobacillus algidus T-box sequence
Rfam family: T-box leader
About the family: Uncharged tRNA acts as the effector for transcription antitermination of genes in the T-box leader family. T-boxes are found upstream of many aminoacyl-tRNA synthetase genes and some amino acid biosynthetic genes usually in Gram-positive bacteria. The anticodon of a specific tRNA base pairs to a specifier sequence within the T-box motif, and the NCCA acceptor tail of the tRNA base pairs to a conserved bulge in the T-box antiterminator hairpin.
Source: RNAcentral
CUAUAAGCGAUGAAGUAGUUCAGUAGCUUUUCGACCAAUUUUAAAGAAACCUGAUGGCCGCUGUAAAUCAGGAAUUGUCGAUGAGUGAAGUACGCUAUGGAGCUGUCAACGAUUCAUCUCGUUAACGAUGAUUAAGCGAUUAUCUACUAUAUAUAGUAGAUAAUAACUUGGGUGGUAACGCGGAAAUUAAUUCGUCCCUAAU